CCGUUCGGAUGACUUGUGGGUAGGGGUGAAAGGCCAAUCAAGCCUGGAGAUAGCUGGUUCUCCCCGAAAUCUAUUGAGGUAGAGCCUCGAGCAAUUGUGUACAGGAGGUAGAGCGACUGGAUGGGCGCGGGCUGGCGUAGCUGGUACCAACCCCAACCAAACUCCGAAUGCCUGUUACAUGUAUCUCGGGAGGCAGUCGUUGAGCGAUAAUGUCCAACGGCGAGAGGGAAAGAACCCAGAACCACAGCUAAGGCCCCAAAGUGGCCGCUGAGUAUAGCGAAGGAUGUGUCCCUACACUGACGGCUGGGAGGUUGGCUUAGAAGCAGCCACUCCUUUAAAGAGUGCGUAAUAGCUCACCAGUCCAGUGGGAAUGCGCCGAGAAUGGUCGGGAUUAAGCGGCCCGCCGAAGCUUGGUCUUCAUACUAUGUAUGAGGGGUAGGGGAGCGUUCUGAUCGCCUUGAAGCGUCGGUGGAAACCAGACGUGGAGCGUUCAGAAGUGAGGAUGCCGGAAUGAGUACGCGCAAAUGCGGGUGAAAACCCCGCACACCGUAAGCCCAAGGAUUCCUGCGCCAUGGCAAUCAGCGCAGGGUGAGGCGGACCCUAAGACGAGGCCCCAGAGGCGUAGUCGAUGGACAAUCGGUCAAUAUUCCGAUCCCGUCUGUAGUGUGUUAGCAACCCCAGGGGGACCCUGGAACGAAAUGUCAGCGGCUUUGUGGAUUGGCCGUGAAAAGGCGUAGGGAAACCGAGACCUGAGACGAGGAUGCGGGGCAACCCAAAUCCAAGUGAUGUGGAGUCGACAGGCAAGAAAAGCCCUGGUGGGGAAUGCUGCAGACGUCCGUACCGUAAACCGACACAGGUGGGCAAGGCGAGUAGCCUAAGGUGAACGAGUGAAACCGGGUCAAGGAACUCGGCAUAAUGAUCCCGUAACUUCGGAAGAAGGGAUGCCGAAAUGGGUUGGCGACCUCGCGUCGCAGGCUCAUCUCGGUCGCAGAUAAUCGACUCAAGCGACUGUUUAGCAAAAACACAGGUGAGUGCCAAGCCGCACAAGGCGCCGUAUACUCACUGACGCCUGCCCGGUGCCGGAAGGUUAAGGGGAGAUGUUAGCCGCAAGGCGAAGCAUUGAGCCGAAGCCCCGGUAAACGGCGGCCGUAACUAUAACGGUCCUAAGGUAGCGAAAUUCCUUGUCGNNUUUACUGCAGCUUGUCAUUGGACGUCGCAUUAGACUGUGUAGCAUAGCUGGGAGACUUUGAGACUCGGGCGCCAGCUCGGGUGGAGUCAUCAGUGAAAUACCAGCCUGGCUCAUGUAACGUCCUCACCACGCUCGGGCAAACCCCGGCUGGGACCGUGGCAGGUGGGCAGUUUGACUGGGGCGGUCGCCUCCGAAAGAGUAACGGAGGCGCGCGCAUGGUUCCCUCAGCGCGGACGAUAUUCGCGCUCUAGAGUGUAACGGCAUAAGGGAGCCUGACGGCGAGACCGACGGGUCGAGCCGCCACGAAAGUGGGCCGUAGUGAUCCGGUAGCCCGGUGUGGAUCGGCUAUCGCGCAACGGAUAAAAGGUACGCUGGGGAUAACAGGCUUAUCGCGCCCGAGAGUUCACAUCGACGGCGCGGUUUGGCACCUCGAUGUCGGCUUAUCACAUCCUGGGGCUGGAGAAGGUCCCAAGGGUCCGGCUGUUCGCCGGUUAAAGUGGUACAUGAGCUGGGUUCAGAACGUCGUGAGACAGUUCGGUCUGUAUCCGCUGUGGGCGUUGGAGAGUUGAGGGGUGCGGACUCUAGUACGAGAGGACCGAGUCGGACGAUCCGCUCGUGUCCCGGCUGUCACGCCAGUGGCACCGCCGGGUAGCGAUGAUCGGCACGGAUAACCGCUGAAAGCAUCUAAGUGGGAAGCCGUCCCCAAGAUGAACUCUCCCUGGGACCUUGAGUCCCCUGAAGGGCCGUGGGAGACCACCACGUCGAUAGGUCGGAAGUGGAAAGCCAGCAAU
This 1980-nucleotide ribosomal RNA is filed under the name wastewater metagenome. RNAcentral's name for it is "bacterial LSU rRNA". It matches the Rfam family "Bacterial large subunit ribosomal RNA", at positions 796 to 2882 of the family's 2925-position model. The record is from RNAcentral.